GAACGCACAUUGCGCCCGCCCGCAUUCUGGCGGGCAUGCCUGUUCGAGCGUCAUUUCAACCCUCGAGCUCGUCUUCAUUGACGAGAUCGGUGUUGGGGAACGGCAAAGCGGGACACAGUCCGGCGCCGACCCCGAAAUUCAGUGGCGGCCCGUUGCGGCGACCUCUGCGUAGUAACUUAACCUCGCACUGGAAGAGCAGCGUGGCCACGCCGUAAAACCCCCGACUUUUUUAAGGUUGACCUCGAAUCAGGUAGGACUACCCGCUGAACUUAAG
This 274-nucleotide unclassified non-coding RNA is filed under the name uncultured Cordycipitaceae. RNAcentral describes it as "sequence contains 5.8S rRNA gene". Lineage: Eukaryota; Fungi; Ascomycota; Sordariomycetes; Hypocreales; Cordycipitaceae. The record is from RNAcentral.